RNAcentral lists this ribosomal RNA (429 nucleotides) under Bacteroidota bacterium. RNAcentral's name for it is "Bacteroidetes bacterium partial 16S ribosomal RNA". It matches the Rfam family "Bacterial small subunit ribosomal RNA", at positions 355 to 776 of the family's 1533-position model. The record is from RNAcentral. Lineage: Bacteria; Pseudomonadati; Bacteroidota.
UAGGGAAUCUUCCGCAAUGGACGCAAGUCUGACGGAGCAACGCCGCGUGAGUGAAGAAGGAUUUCGGUUCGUAAAACUCUGUUGUUAGAGAAGAACAGCGCAUAGAGUAACUGUUAUGCGUGUGACGGUAUCUAACCAGAAAGCCACGGCUAACUACGUGCCAGCAGCCGCGGUAAUACGUAGGUGGCAAGCGUUGUCCGGAUUUAUUGGGCGUAAAGCGAGCGCAGGCGGUCAAUUAAGUCUGAUGUGAAAGCCCCCGGCUCAACCGGGGAGGGUCAUUGGAAACUGGUUGACUUGAGUGCAGAAGAGGAGGGUGGAAUUCCAUGUGUAGCGGUGAAAUGCGUAGAUAUAUGGAGGAACACCAGUGGCGAAGGCGACUCUCUGGUCUGUAACUGACGCUGAGGCUAGAAAGCGUGGGUAGCAAACAGG